RNAcentral lists this ribosomal RNA (721 nucleotides) under Boana albopunctata (spotted treefrog). Its description in RNAcentral is "partial 16S ribosomal RNA". It matches the Rfam family "Bacterial large subunit ribosomal RNA", at positions 1926 to 2925 of the family's 2925-position model. Lineage: Eukaryota; Metazoa; Chordata; Amphibia; Anura; Hylidae. The record is from RNAcentral.
AACGGCCGCGGUAUCCUAACCGUGCGAAGGUAGCGUAAUCACUUGUUCUUUAAAUGAGGACUAGUAUGAAUGGCACCACGAGGGUUAAGCUGUCUCCUUUUUCUAAUCAGUGAAACUAAUCUCCCCGUGAAGAAGCGGGGAUUAUACUAUAAGACGAGAAGACCCUAUGGAGCUUAAAACAAAUUAACACUUGCUUCUAUCCAUUUUUACUCCUGAACUAACACAUAAAAUAUAGCAUCGUUGAUUAAUAGUUUUCGAUUGGGGUGAUCAUGGAGUAAAAACCAACCUCCACGACGAAAAGGAACACUUCCCUGAGCUAAAAGCUACAACUUUAAGCACUAAAAAAUUAACGCACUUUGACCCAAAUUUUUGAGCAACGAACCAAGUUACCCUAGGGAUAACAGCGCAAUCCAUUUCAAGAGCCCCUAUCGACAAAUGGGUUUACGACCUCGAUGUUGGAUCAGGGUAUCCCAGUGGUGCAGCCGCUACUAAAGGUUCGUUUGUUCAACGAUUAAAACCCUACGUGAUCUGAGUUCAGACCGGAGAAAUCCAGGUCAGUUUCUAUCUAUAAAGGGCUUUUUCUAGUACGAAAGGACCGAAAAAGCAUGGCCAAUGAUCAAUUAAGCCAUAUAAAUUACUCAUGUUUUCAACUCAAUUAGAAACAAACCUACCAUAAACCUCAAAAAAAGAGAAGUUAACGCAGCAAAACCUGGCCCUGCAA